This is a long non-coding RNA of Oncorhynchus tshawytscha (Chinook salmon), 439 nucleotides long. The record is from Ensembl. Lineage: Eukaryota; Metazoa; Chordata; Actinopteri; Salmoniformes; Salmonidae.
GUAGAUAUGUAUAGGGGUAAGGAGACAGGGAUAAUGGAGUGAUGGAGGUAGAUAUGUAUAGGGGUAAGGAGACAGGGAUACUGGAGUGAUGGAGGUAGAUAUGUAUAGGGGGAAGGAGACAGGGAUACUGGAGUGAUGGAGGUAGAUAUGUAUAGGGGGAAGGAGACAGGGAUACUGGAGUGAUGGAGGUAGAUAUGUAUAGGGGAAGGGGACAGGGAUACUGGAGUGAUGAGGUAGAUAUGUAUAGGGGAAGGGGACAGGGAUACUGGAGUGAUGGAGGUAGAUAUGUAUAGGAGACAGGGAUACUGGAGUGAUGGAGGUAGAUAUGUAUAGGGGAAGGGGACAGGGAUACUGGAGUGAUGGAGGUAGAUAUGUAUAGGAGACAGGGAUACUGGGGUGAUGGAGGUAGAUACAGUGCCUUCGGAAGUUAUUCAGACCC